This 499-nucleotide ribosomal RNA is filed under the name Juga (Calibasis) sp. 7 DC-2011. Its description in RNAcentral is "partial 16S ribosomal RNA". The stretch from base 30 to 414 matches the Rfam family "Bacterial large subunit ribosomal RNA", at positions 2049 to 2651 of the family's 2925-position model. The record is from RNAcentral. Lineage: Eukaryota; Metazoa; Mollusca; Gastropoda; Semisulcospiridae.
UCUCCUUUUUAUUUUCAAGAACUUAACUUUUAGGUGAAGAGGCCUAAAUUCUAUUGAAGGACAAGAAGACCCUAUCGAGCUUAAAAGACAUUAUAGAGGUUUAUAUAUUUGUAAAUAAAUUUUCUAUUAAGCUUUUUAGUUGGGGCGGCUAAGGAACAAAAAAAGCUUCUUGCUAAUAACAAACAGUCAUGUUUAGAUCCGAAAAUAAUCGAUCAAAGAAAUUAGUUACCGUAGGGAUAACAGCAUAAUCUCUCUUGAGAGACCUAAUCGAAAGAGGGGGUUGUGACCUCGAUGUUGGACUAGAAUAUCCUAAAGAUGCAGAAGUCUUUGAGGGUCGGUCUGUUCGACCGUUAAAAUUCUACAUGAUCUGAGUUCAGACCGGCGUGAGCCAGGUCAGUUUCUAUCCUCAAUUUAUUUAUCUGUGCCUAGUACGAAAGGAUCGGCCCAGAAAGUGUAAACUUUUAUUAAGAAUUAAAAUAAUAGAAAAAUAAAUUUUAUU